This 449-nucleotide ribosomal RNA is filed under the name uncultured bacterium. RNAcentral's name for it is "partial 16S ribosomal RNA". It matches the Rfam family "Bacterial small subunit ribosomal RNA", at positions 338 to 795 of the family's 1533-position model. The record is from RNAcentral.
CCUACGGGAGGCUGCAGUGGGGAAUUUUGGACAAUGGGGGCAACCCUGAUCCAGCCAUGCCGCGUGAGUGAAGAAGGCCUUCGGGUUGUAAAGCUCUUUCAGGUGGAAAGAAAUCGCAUCUUUUAAUACAGGGUGUGGAUGACGGUACCAUCAGAAGAAGCACCGGCUAACUACGUGCCAGCAGCCGCGGUAAUACGUAGGGAACGACCGUUAAUCGGAAUUACUCGGCGUAAUACGUGCGAAGGAUGUUAAAUCCCCGGGCUCAACCUGGGAACUGCGUUUGUGACUGCAUAACUAGAGUACGGCAGAGGGAGGUGGAAUUCCGCGUGUAGCAGUGAAAUGCGUAGAGAUGCGGAGGAACACCGAUGGCGAAGGCAGCCUCCUGGGCCAGUACUGACGCUCAUGCACGAAAGCGUGGGGAGCAAACAGGAUUAGAUACCCCAGUAGUC